This 492-nucleotide ribosomal RNA is filed under the name uncultured bacterium. Its description in RNAcentral is "partial 16S ribosomal RNA". It matches the Rfam family "Bacterial small subunit ribosomal RNA", at positions 30 to 507 of the family's 1533-position model. The record is from RNAcentral.
AUUGAACGCUGGCGGCAGGCCUAACACAUGCAAGUCGAGCGGCAGAAGAGAGCUAGCUCCUGGUUUCAGCGGCGGACGGGUGAGUAGUGCCUGGGAAUAUGCGUGGUUACUUGGGAUAACGGGCGGAAACGGGGGCUAAUACCGCAAUAGUGCUGAGGGACUAAGUGGGGGAUCUUGGGACCUCACGACCUCGCAUGAGUCUAUGUCGGGAUGUCGGAUUAGCUAGUUGGCGGGGUAAAGGCCCACCAAGGCGACGAUCCGUAGCUGGUCUGAGAGGAUGAUCAGUCACACUGGAAAUGAGAUACGGUCCAGACUCCUACGGGAGGCAGCAGUGGGGAAUAUUGGACAAUGGGCGAAAGCCUGAUCCAGCCAUGCCGCGUGUGUGAAGAAGGCCUUCGGAUUGUAAAGCACUUUAGUUUGGGAAGAAGGGCAGUAAGUUAAUACCCUGCUGUUUUGACGUUACCAACAGAAUAAGCACCGGCUAACUUCGUG